CCUACGGGUGGCUGCAGUGGGGAAUUUUGGACAAUGGGGGCAACCCUGAUCCAGCCAUUCCGCGUGAGUGAAGAAGGCCUUCGGGUUGUAAAGCUCUUUCGCAAGGGAAGAAAACUUACUCAAUAACACUGGGUGAGGCUGACGGUACCUUGAUACGAAGCACCGGCUAACUACGUGCCAGCAGCCGCGGUAAUACGUAGGGUGCGAACGUUGCUCGGAAUUUGUGGAGGUGAUUCUUGAAGUCAGAUGUGAAAUCCCCGGGCUCAACCUGGGAACUGCGUUUGAAACUACAAGGCUAGAGUAUGGCAGAGGGGGGUAGAAUUCCACGUGUAGCAGUGAAAUGCGUAGAGAUGUGGAGGAAUACCAAUGGCGAAGGCAGCCCCCUGGGUCAAUACUGACGCUCAUGCACGAAAGCGUGGGGAGCAAACAGGAUUAGAUACCCUUGUAGUC
This 450-nucleotide ribosomal RNA is filed under the name uncultured bacterium. Its description in RNAcentral is "partial 16S ribosomal RNA". It matches the Rfam family "Bacterial small subunit ribosomal RNA", at positions 338 to 795 of the family's 1533-position model. The record is from RNAcentral.